Drosophila innubila is the source of this 143-nucleotide small nucleolar RNA. The record is from RefSeq and is a predicted model, not a curated record. NCBI's taxonomy places the organism in Eukaryota, Metazoa, Arthropoda, Insecta, Diptera, Drosophilidae.
AACUUGGCUUGUUCGAAGACCGCAAAACGAUUACCAUUUAGUUAAGUGGUUCAAAUACAAAGCCAAAAGCAAUUUUUGAUACGACGGUCUCUGAUUAUGCAUUUAUCCAGCAAAUUCAGUAACUUUUACGUGCAAUUACAUAU